Long non-coding RNA from Triticum aestivum (bread wheat), 725 nucleotides. RefSeq lists it as uncharacterized. The record is from RefSeq and is a predicted model, not a curated record. The transcript has 3 exons. NCBI's taxonomy places the organism in Eukaryota, Viridiplantae, Streptophyta, Magnoliopsida, Poales, Poaceae.
UGCAAUCCACGGCAAAAAUAUACUAGCAGGCCACUUGAUCUUCGGUUUGCAGCCGCUAUUUAUACUCCCUCUAGGUCCAGCACCGGCCGGUCCACUUCUGCUAGCAGGCAGCCAUCUGCAGCUAGGGUUCAUAGUUCAUAGUCAGUGACCAACAUGAGUGACCGAAGGUACGGGUACUCGUACCCACACAACCAAGGGUAUUACAACGGACCGCCGGUGAUGGCGCCGCCGCAGUACGCCCCGCCGCCGAGACGGCAGACGGGAUUCCUCGAAGGAUGCCUGGCUGCUCUGUGCUGCUGCUGCCUCGUCGACGAGUGCUGCUGCGACCCGUCCAUCAUAUUCGUGAGCUGAUCGAAACACGUACGCGGUCCAGACGACGGCCGACCGAUCGACCGACCGACGAACCAUCCGAGCCGAGCUACGUACCUAACGUACUGGUAGUAGUACAUGUGCGAUUUAUAUAUGCGUGUCGUGUGUAUGUGUGCUUCCCUUGAGCUGUUGCUUUCAGCUAUAGCAAUAGCAUAUGCCCCUAGAGGCCUAGAACAGAGUAGAACUGCAGAAAGAAUAGCCAGCCCGUCCUGCCGUUCGGUUCAGCUCUCCAGCGGCACGACGGGUGGGUGGUGUGUGUUGCAUGUAUGUAUGUAUCUGAUGUGAUCCCCUAAAAAAAAGUAUCUGAUGUGAGUCUACGAAUAAGAUGAGGAAAAAGAAAAGUUCGGCACCUUCUA